This 253-nucleotide ribosomal RNA is filed under the name uncultured bacterium. Its description in RNAcentral is "partial 16S ribosomal RNA". It matches the Rfam family "Bacterial small subunit ribosomal RNA", at positions 524 to 776 of the family's 1533-position model. The record is from RNAcentral.
UACGAAGGGGGCGAGCGUUGUUCGGAUUUACUGGGCGUAAAGGGCGCGCAGGCGGCUAUUUUUGUCAGGCGUGAAAGCCCCGGGCUUAACCUGGGAACAGCGCUUGAGACGGGAUGGCUAGAGAUCGGGAGAGGAGAGUGGAAUUCCCAGUGUAGAGGUGAAAUUCGUAGAUAUUGGGAAGAACACCGGUGGCGAAAGCGGCGCACUGGAUCUCUUCUGACGCUGAGGCGCGAAAGCUAGGGGAGCAAACGGG